GAAAAGAAACUAACAAGGAUUCCCCUAGUAACGGCGAGUGAAGAGGGAAGAGCCCAAGAUUGAAAGCUGGCGUCUUCGGCGUCCGCAUUGUAAUCUCAAGAAGUGUUUUCCGCUUGGGACCAUGCCUAAGUCCCUUGGAAAAGGGCAUCAUAGAGGGUGAUAAUCCCGUACAUGGCAUGGAGCGCCCGAAGCUUUGUGAUACGCUUUCUAAGAGUCGAGUUGUUUGGGAAUGCAGCUCAAAAUGGGUGGUAAAUGCCAUCUAAGGCUAAAUAUUGGGGAGAGACCGAUAGCGAACAAGUACAGUGAUGGAAAGAUGAAAAGAACUUUGAAAAGAGAGUUAAACAGUACGUGAAAUUGCCAAAAGGGAAGGGUAGGAGGUCAGAGAUGCGUCUUGGAAUUCAGCCUUGCUUUUUCGCUUGGUGUUUUUUCCAAGUUUGCAGGCCAACGUCGGUUUUGGGCACUGGAGAAGGGUGGAAGGAACGUGGCACCUCUCGGGGUGUGUUAUAGCCUUCUACUGGAUACAGCGACCGAGACCGAGGACAGCAGCGUACUCGCAAGAGCGGGCCCUCGGGCACCUUUACGCUUAGGGCGUUGGCAUAAUGGCCCUCUACCAC
This 614-nucleotide ribosomal RNA is filed under the name Sporisorium dimeriae-ornithopodae. RNAcentral describes it as "LSU rRNA". It matches the Rfam family "Eukaryotic large subunit ribosomal RNA", at positions 56 to 648 of the family's 3401-position model. Lineage: Eukaryota; Fungi; Basidiomycota; Ustilaginomycetes; Ustilaginales; Ustilaginaceae. The record is from RNAcentral.